RNAcentral lists this long non-coding RNA (3387 nucleotides) under Homo sapiens (human). RNAcentral's name for it is "HSALNT0061421". The record is from RNAcentral. Lineage: Eukaryota; Metazoa; Chordata; Mammalia; Primates; Hominidae.
CUGGUUUCAAACUCCUGACCUUGUGACCCACCUGCCUCAGCCUCCCAAAGUGCUAGGAUUACAGGCAUGAGCCACCGCGCCUGGGCCUUUGGGUAUUUUUAAAGAGUAAAGUGCCCUGAAGACUGUGUGUGUAGGUAAGGGGCUUGCCCUCCCACUGGAUGGCUCUGGAUAUAAAGUCAUGGAAACACAGCUCCUGCAUGUCUUCUAAGAGGCUUCAUGGUGUGGAGAGUGCAGAGUGCUGGCUGAGGGCCGGCCUGGCCCAGCUGGAGACUGAAGCAUGCCAAACUGACUCUAUCCCUUAGGAACCAAGAGGACAGCCACCACCCACAGUACCAGGCAGAAGCAGCCUGGGCCUCGUGGUAGUUGCUAAUCUGAGCCCUUGAUGGAGCAGUUUGAGAAGCACUGGGUUGGAGUAGUAAUCAUCACUGAGAAGAUGACCAUAUCAGCAUUCUAUCUGCCUCCAUAACAAAUUAUCACGAAAUUGGUGGCUUAAAACAAUAUUCAUAACCUCCCAUUUCUGUAGGUCAGCGGUGUGGGCACAAUGUAGCCCAGCUGGGUCCUCUAUGCAGGGCCUCAGGGCUGGGCUCUUAAGGCUCUGGGGAAGAUCUGGCUUCCAAGCUCACUGGCCAUUGGCAGAAUGCACUUCCUUUGGCUUCCCACACAGCCACAUUGAAAACAGCAAGCAUGUGUCCAAACCCAGAGGCUUCAGGUCUCACUUCUGCUUACAGCUCCUAUGAUCACACUGGGCCGUCGGAUAAUCCAGGAUAAUCUCCCCAUUUUAAGGUCAACCCACCAGUUACCUUAAUUUCAUCUGCAAAGCCCCUCUUGCCACGUGAUAGAGCAUAACCAUGGGCAUGGCCCCAGAACGUGAAGGUCAUGGGGGCUGCAAUUCUGCCUACCACAUUGACUUCAUCAGCAACAGGUCCAGUUCGGGAUGAAUCGCCUCUGAAGGGUGCUCUGAAGUGCUCCAGCUGAAGUUUUGGCCAUCUCCGCCAGCCACACCCCACUGGGUUCCUCCUCCCCAGCUCUGGCUGUUUCGUCCCCUCUAGCCAUCGCCCACCGUCCACACUGCCAUACGGCCGCUCAGGACAUCCCAGUUCCCUCCUGCCCGAGAGCUCUCAUCUGAGGACGCGCAUCAUUCCUCAGGAAACUCUAUCUUUCCACACCACCCCCAGCUGUUCUCAGCCACCCAGAAAAAAGGAACAUAAACGCUAAUGGGGAAAAACAUGGGGACACAUCUCAUUUCACCCCACACUCCCUCAGCUCAACCUGGGAAUGUAACCUGCAGGGCAGCAAGACCAGAAGCAACACCACUCCAGUUCUCCCAAGGGCCAAUGGCAUAGCCCUUGGGUAUUCUCAGGGUUCUCUUACCCAGACAGGUGGCCAGCUAGCAGGAGUGCACACACUUCCAAAUAUCAGCUAAAGUCAAAUGAUGGCUCAAUCUUCUCCAUCUAUUAAAUCAAAUUGGUGCUAGGCUCAAUGGCCAAGGAUGCAAAGCUGGUUGUCUUUGGUCCCUUCCAAACUGUGGUCUGUGAAUGAGCAGUGGUAGGUAUUACCUUGGAGUUGCUACAUCUAUAGAGUCCCUCCUAGUGAACUGGAAUCUGCAUUUUAAUGAGAUACCCAGGUGAUCUGUAAGCACAUCCUGAAAUGCUGAGGAAAACCUGAAGUCAGCAGCAGAAAGGCGGACUCCAGCUGUGUCCAGGCAUCCUUCGUUCCGAGUCCAGUCCUUACCUGGCCCAUACAGGCCCAACUCCCAGCCACUCUUCCUCCUCCAUCAAGCACCACCUAUCUCUUGAGAUCUUUCACAAAAAUAAACUUUAGGGAAGGGUGGGACCUUUGGAAUAAUCUAGUCUUACCCCACCUCAUGGCCUCUUGCAUGUCAGCGCCAUCACCAUCAUCAUGCCACGUGCUGUGUCUCAGAGCCUGUUCCCUCCUAGUUUAAGAUCUUUGAGAAACCAUGUCUUUUCAUCUCUGUAUCCUCAAAGUCUGGCUGAUCCAGUCCGGUAUAUAGCAGGUCUGCUAAAUUGUUGUUAAACUGCCUUAAUUUCGAUAGAUGAAGCAAGCAGAGCCAGGAGAAGUUGGGGAGAUCAGCUAAGAUCACUGGGCAGUCAGGUGCUGAUCCACGUCCAAACUUCUGAACCAGGGAGGCAUACAAGAUGCUUUAGUGACUUACAUGUGUGUGCCAUUUUUAUUUGUCUCCAACACCCACCCUAUGUUGGAUGCCAUCUCAAUUCUUCUUGUGUAUUGAGAAUGAGUCUUUUAUCUAAGCUCGUUAAAACAGAAAUUCCAUCCAUAUUUACUUCAAAAGACUCAAAAAUACAAUUUAAUAGAAUACUUAAUAUGAAUUUCACAGGCACCAAAGUUUACAGCUGUUGAGGAUGAGGUCACACUGGCCCAACUAAAGUCAUGUCACCUCUCUCACAUCGUAGCAUUCUUUUAUCCUUGUUUUACACUCUUAAGAGAUAGCAUAAAGAAGAAAAUCAAAACCCAGAAAAGGUUUGCUGUAAUUACUCCAAUAAUUUCCUUCAGUGAAAAUCUCUUAUCACUAUGAUUUUAGUGACAGAGGAACAAGCAGAGCUCUGACGUGGGGCUGAGUGCCCACUACUAAAGGGCAGAGGCUGCCGCCAGGCCACCAAGGCCCAUCUGGCCAGGCAAGGCCACCCAGAGCCCUCACGUUUACUCCAAACGGCCAUUCUUGAGCCAGCUGGGUUGGGUCCCACCCCUUCUGGCUUGCACCACCACAAAGAAAACCUCAAGAAUAUCUGCUUUGCCGUUUUUUUUUUUUUUUGCAGACAGAGUCUCGCUCUGUCACCAGGCUGGAGUGCAGUGGUGUGAUCUCGACUCACUGCAACCUCCGCCUCUUGGGUUCAAGCGAUUCUUCUGCCUCAGCCUCCCGAGUAACUGGGACUACAGGCACGCACCACUACGCCCAGCUAAUUUUUAUAUUUUUAGUAGAGACGGGAUUCCACCAUGUUGGCCAGGAUGGUCUCGAUCUCUUGACCUUGUGAUCCGCCCGCCUCGGCCUCCCAAAGUGCUGGGACUACAGGCGUGAGCCACUGCGCCCGGCUGCCUUUUUUUUUUUUUAAAAAAGGAGAAAAGUAACAAUAAACAACAGCCUUAAGAAAAAACAAGAAGCAACACAGAUCAUAUGGGAAGCACAACUUUCUCAGCCAAGUAGCCCAAAUUAUCACAAAUAAUCCUACCAAGAAUACACCUAAUACUGGAGGGGAAAGAAUGCUUACACAAAACUGUUGUUUGCUUUGAAGCUUUGAAUAAGUUCCAAGUUUUUAUAUUUCACAAUUUAUAUACUUUAUUACAGUCCACAGUCUGCUAAAUAAAAGCAGUAACAAGAUAUUUCACAAACUAUUGUACAAAUUAAGUCUUAUG